This 483-nucleotide ribosomal RNA is filed under the name uncultured bacterium. RNAcentral's name for it is "bacterial SSU rRNA". It matches the Rfam family "Bacterial small subunit ribosomal RNA", at positions 30 to 507 of the family's 1533-position model. The record is from RNAcentral.
UUGAACGCUGGCGGCAUGCCUUACACAUGCAAGUCGAACGGCAGCACGGGAGCAAUCCUGGUGGCGAGUGGCGAACGGGUGAGUAAUAUAUCGGAACGUGCCCAGUCGUGGGGGGAUAACGUAGCGAAAGCUACGCUAAUACCGCAUACUAUCUAUGGAUGAAAGCGGGGGAUCGCAAGACCUCGCGCGAUUGGAGCGGCCGAUAUCAGAUUAGGUAGUUGGUGAGGUAAAGGCUCACCAAGCCGACGAUCUGUAGCUGGUCUGAGAGGACGACCAGCCACACUGGGACUGAGACACGGCCCAGACUCCUACGGGAGGCAGCAGUGGGGAAUUUUGGACAAUGGGCGCAAGCCUGAUCCAGCAAUGCCGCGUGCAGGAUGAAGGCCUUCGGGUUGUAAACUGCUUUGUACGGAACGAAACGGUGAGCUCUAAUACAGUUUGCUAAUGACGGUACCGUAAGAAUAAGCACCGGCUAACUACGUG